GCGGGUAUGGCGGAACUGGCAGACGCGCCGGAUUUAGGUUCCGGUGGGCAACCGUGCAGGUUCAACUCCUGUUACCCGUACCA
This 83-nucleotide transfer RNA is filed under the name Clostridiaceae bacterium. RNAcentral's name for it is "tRNA-Leu". It matches the Rfam family "tRNA". Rfam says of the family: Transfer RNA (tRNA) molecules are approximately 80 nucleotides in length. Their secondary structure includes four short double-helical elements and three loops (D, anti-codon, and T loops). RNAcentral also lists the same sequence under 2 other names. Lineage: Bacteria; Bacillati; Bacillota; Clostridia; Eubacteriales; Clostridiaceae. The record is from RNAcentral.